UUGAAAUUAUAGGUGACGGUUGUAGCUGGCCUUUCGGGGCAUGUGCACACCCGAGCCCUUAAUCCACACACACCUGUGAACCCAAUGUAAGGGCCCGUAAAAAGGCCUUUAUGUCUUAUCACCAACCUUUAUGUCUCAUAGAAUGUCAUUCAAUAUCUUCGCCUUAAAAAAGCGUCGGUAAAAUUAUA
Molecule: unclassified non-coding RNA, 188 nt
Filed under: uncultured Atheliaceae
Lineage: Eukaryota; Fungi; Basidiomycota; Agaricomycetes; Atheliales; Atheliaceae
Description: sequence contains ITS1
Source: RNAcentral